RNAcentral lists this ribosomal RNA (652 nucleotides) under Salmonella enterica subsp. enterica serovar Thompson. Its description in RNAcentral is "partial 23S ribosomal RNA". It matches the Rfam family "Bacterial large subunit ribosomal RNA", at positions 532 to 1190 of the family's 2925-position model. The record is from RNAcentral. Lineage: Bacteria; Pseudomonadati; Pseudomonadota; Gammaproteobacteria; Enterobacterales; Enterobacteriaceae.
AACGGAGCGAAAGCGACGUUCAACCGCAAAAGAAGCAGAGGGGGCUUAGUGGUGGGGUGACUGCGUACCUUUUGUAUAAUGGGUCAGCGACUUAUAUUCUGUAGCAAGGUUAACCGAAUAGGGGAGCCGUAGGGAAACCGAGUCUUAACCGGGCGUUAAGUUGCAGGGUAUAGACCCGAAACCCGGUGAUCUAGCCAUGGGCAGGUUGAAGGUUGGGUAACACUAACUGGAGGACCGAACCGACUAAUGUUGAAAAAUUAGCGGAUGACCUGUGGCUGGGGGUGAAAGGCCAAUCAAACCGGGAGAUAGCUGGUUCUCCCCGAAAGCUAUUUAGGUAGCGCCUCGUGAAUUCAUCUCCGGGGGUAGAGCACUGUUUCGGCUAGGGGGCCAUCCCGGCUUACCAACCCGAUGCAAACUGCGAAUACCGGAGAAUGUUAUCACGGGAGACACACGGCGGGUGCUAACGUCCGUCGUGAAGAGGGAAACAACCCAGACCGCCAGCUAAGGUCCCAAAGUCAUGGUUAAGUGGGAAACGAUGUGGGAAGGCCCAGACAGCCAGGAUGUUGGCUUAGAAGCAGCCAUCAUUUAAAGAAAGCGUAAUAGCUCACUGGUCGAGUCGGCCUGCGCGGAAGAUGUAACGGGGCUAAACCAU